GUCCACGCCAUAAACGAUGGAUACUUGUUGUUGGAGGUAUUGACCCCUUCAGUGACGAAGCUAACGCGUUAAGUAUCCCGCCUGGGGAAUACGGUCGCAAGAUUAAAACUCAAAGAAAUUGACGGGGCCCGCACAAGCGGUGGAGCAUGUGGUUUAAUUCGAUGCAACGCGAAGAACCUUACCUAGGCUUGACAUGUACUGGAAGACUGGCAGAAAUGUCGUCGCUCGCAAGAGUCGGUACACAGGUGCUGCAUGGCUGUCGU
RNAcentral lists this ribosomal RNA (263 nucleotides) under uncultured bacterium. RNAcentral describes it as "partial 16S ribosomal RNA". It matches the Rfam family "Bacterial small subunit ribosomal RNA", at positions 793 to 1055 of the family's 1533-position model. The record is from RNAcentral.